This 253-nucleotide ribosomal RNA is filed under the name uncultured bacterium. RNAcentral's name for it is "partial 16S ribosomal RNA". It matches the Rfam family "Bacterial small subunit ribosomal RNA", at positions 524 to 776 of the family's 1533-position model. The record is from RNAcentral.
UACGUAGGGUGCAAGCGUUGUCCGGAAUCAUUGGGCGUAAAGCGCGCGUAGGUGGCUUCGUAAGUCCGUUGUGAAAGUCAAAGGCUCAACCUUUGAAUGCCGAUGGAUACUGCGAAGCUAGAGUACGGAAGAGGCGAGUGGAAUUCCUGGUGUAGCGGUGGAAUGCGCAGAUAUCAGGAGGAACACCGAUGGCGAAGGCAGGUCUCUGGGCCACUACUGACGCUGAGAAGCGAAAGCAUGGGGAGCGAACAGG